GGUGUGAUGGCGUGGAUCGAUCAGAGCAAAGGGGGGAGAAGACAAACCCUAACUUCAUGAAAUUCUCAAGAAUUGAAAGAGAUUAGGAGCCCAAACUAAUGCAUGAACUCGAAACCUCAAUCAUCUAAGCUUGUACAACAAGCGGAACGUGUCAAGGAGAGGUCAAGCAUAGGAGGAUAACGGGUCAAGAUAAGGCAAGAUGACAAAUACACUUAUUGGAGUACUCGAGGUAAGUGAAUUUCGAUUCACUUUUUAGUAGGUUUAAUAGAUUUUAAUACUUAUGUUUACGAAACAUCAUGAAAGAACAUGUAAUAAUCAGAAGUACAAAGCCAAUAAUGCCUCAUUAUUGAAGAAGGUUGUAUUUAAGCCGAAAGUAAAUUGGUGGGUUUAAACGGGUCGAAUUUUAUGUGCAUAUGUUGCGUAAUGAAAUGAAAUUCGUUAUGGUUAAGACCUUGGGUAAGAAUUUUAGUCAUUAUGUAAGGGGAACAUUUCCCGGACCAUUAGGUACAAGUUUUAUAUGAUUCGGUUGUCGGUCAAUGAAUGAACGGAUUGUUUCGUUUUAGUGUAGGAAAUUUUAUAAGUAUAUGUGUAUAGGAAUCCAAAGGCCACGUGGGUUGAAUCGUAGAUUGUCUAUACUAUGUAAAGUAUUGAAUGUGACAUUCCGGCAUAAACCUACAUGUAAAAGAAGCUUGUGUAUAUAUUCGUGAUUAAUUGAUUGUGCGAAGGAAGGAACAUUGGCAUGAAUGAAGGUACGCACAUAUAUAUAUAAGUAUAUAUAUAUAUAUGUAUGUAUGUAUGUAUGAUAAUAAGUACGUAGGUGUGAAUGUAUGUGUGAAUGAAUGUUCAAUGCUUAAGACAUAUGCAUGAACGUAUCAAAGGGUUCGAGUAUUUAUGGAUACUAAUGAUGUGCGUUGAGUUGGAAUGUAAUGUAGGUAUGGGGUCGUUGGCUUCAUGAAGAAAUGGAGCUGGAUUUGGAUAAGAGUAUUUAAGAAAGCGCUUGGACAAUUCCACGACUACUUUAUAGAAUGUUCUACGAAAUUUUAUUAUAUAGUUUAAUGUUGAAUGGUAUGUUGAUAACUAAUGGUUUGGUUGUACGUGGUGUCCACAGGUAUCGCUUGGGUUUUCUCUACUUUUAUUGAAGUGAAGCGGACUUAGUUCGAGUUGAGAGCAAGGAUUGUACGGGGUAGAAUGGUCACAUAGUGUAACUCAUAUAGGUUUUGAAGUAUUAAUGUUAUAAAACGUUAUAAAUCCGUUUUAAUGAAUAUAUGGCAUUUCGCAUUUGAACUUUCAUGUGUUUGAUAUGUCUAUUAAAGAACGAAAUUUUUGGGCUCUUGUUUUCCGCUGCGUCGUAUUUUAAGUUAUUACGCGUUAGUCUUACAGGGAAUUGUUCUUAUUACGAACGGGUCAUGCCCGAAUUUUGUUAAAUAAUAGUAUGAUAAUAUUACAUUUUGGAAUGUGUAAUUUGGGCGUAACAAGUUGGUAUCAGAGCCCUGGUUUGAGAGAAUUAAGUACGAGAGUAUAAGUACUUGAACUCAAACCUGUGUGCUCUUGUGAUAAGGAACCCGUACAAUCCAUGACUCGAUCAAGAUCUAAAGGUAGAAAUGGAACGAAAAUGUGUAAGUAUGUAUUAGAUUAUGUAUUUGAAAGAAACUAAUAGUGUGUUAUGUGCAAGGUAAGCUUAAGAUCUUGAAGAGGAUGAUCCGUGAAUACAGAAUGGGAUGAACGCUAAGGCGGGCAAAGGUGCAAAUAGGCAAAUUAACCCCAGGAACGUGUCAAGGAGAGGUCAAGCAUAGGAGGAUAACGGGUCAAGAUAAGGCAAGAUGACAAAUACACUUAUUGGAGUACUCGAGGUAAGUGAAUUUCGAUUCACUUUUUAGUAGGUUUAAUAGAUUUUAAUACUUAUGUUUACGAAACAUCAUGAAAGAACAUGUAAUAAUCAGAAGUACAAAGCCAAUAAUGCCUCAUUAUUGAAGAAGGUUGUAUUUAAGCCGAAAGUAAAUUGGUGGGUUUAAACGGGUCGAAUUUUAUGUGCAUAUGUUGCGUAAUGAAAUGAAAUUCGUUAUGGUUAAGACCUUGGGUAAGAAUUUUAGUCAUUAUGUAAGGGGAACAUUUCCCGGACCAUUAGGUACAAGUUUUAUAUGAUUCGGUUGUCGGUCAAUGAAUGAACGGAUUGUUUCGUUUUAGUGUAGGAAAUUUUAUAAGUAUAUGUGUAUAGGAAUCCAAAGGCCACGUGGGUUGAAUCGUAGAUUGUCUAUACUAUGUAAAGUAUUGAAUGUGACAUUCCGGCAUAAACCUACAUGUAAAAGAAGCUUGUGUAUAUAUUCGUGAUUAAUUGAUUGUGCGAAGGAAGGAACAUUGGCAUGAAUGAAGGUACGCACAUAUAUAUAUAAGUAUAUAUAUAUAUAUAUGUAUGUAUGUAUGUAUGAUAAUAAGUACGUAGGUGUGAAUGUAUGUGUGAAUGAAUGUUCAAUGCUUAAGACAUAUGCAUGAACGUAUCAAAGGGUUCGAGUAUUUAUGGAUACUAAUGAUGUGCGUUGAGUUGGAAUGUAAUGUAGGUAUGGGGUCGUUGGCUUCAUGAAGAAAUGGAGCUGGAUUUGGAUAAGAGUAUUUAAGAAAGCGCUUGGACAAUUCCACGACUACUUUAUAGAAUGCUCUACGAAAUUUUAUUAUAUAGUUUAAUGUUGAAUGGUAUGUUGAUAACUAAUGGUUUGGUUGUACGUGGUGUCCACAGGUAUCGCUUGGGUUUUCUCUACUUUUAUUGAAGUGAAGCGGACUUAGUUCGAGUUGAGAGCAAGGAUUGUACGGGGUAGAAUGGUCACAUAGUGUAACUCAUAUAGGUUUUGAAGUAUUAAUGUUAUAAAACGUUAUAAAUCCGUUUUAAUGAAUAUAUGGCAUUUCGCAUUUGAACUUUCAUGUGUUUGAUAUGUCUAUUAAAGAACGAAAUUUUUGG
RNAcentral lists this long non-coding RNA (2950 nucleotides) under Helianthus annuus (common sunflower). RNAcentral describes it as "sRNA HanXRQr2_Chr11g0500011". Lineage: Eukaryota; Viridiplantae; Streptophyta; Magnoliopsida; Asterales; Asteraceae. The record is from RNAcentral.